CUGGGCGCGGCUGCUGCACGAGGCGCCCGGCCCGGGCCGCCGGCUCAAGGGCGUCAGCAAGAAGGGGCUGGCCCGGGGCUGCUUCGGCCUCAAGCUGGACCGCAUCGGCUCCCUCAGCGGCCUGGGCUGCUAGACCCGGGCUUUGGACUGACAUCACAAUUCUCCCUGGCCCCAUGUGGCUGUCUCCUGACCACCACCCAGAGGAACAGGGAACCCCAGGACUGCACAGAAGACCCGGCUGCAUUUGGAUUUGCGGUACGAGGAGCCGUGGCACCAGCUGUUUUGAUUGAUGUUAUUUCUUAUGAUUAAAAAAGAAAAAAACUUCUCUCUCUCUCAUAUAUCCGAUAUAUAACAAAAGUGCUCCCCAGGACCGCGGGGCCGGGGCUUUCCCCGAGAGACUGACGAAGCCAGCUGUAUACCGUUGCUGUUUGUAAAUUCAUGUCCUGCAUAAAUGUAUUUAUGUUGUAAAGCUAUUUAUAUAUUGUUUAUAAAGAGAUAUUUAUAAAAAAAAUUAUUUAUGUAAUUGACGGAAACGUC
Molecule: long non-coding RNA, 537 nt
Organism: Gavialis gangeticus (Gharial)
Lineage: Eukaryota; Metazoa; Chordata; Crocodylia; Gavialidae
Exons: 2
Source: RefSeq, a predicted model, not a curated record